Molecule: ribosomal RNA, 1343 nt
Filed under: uncultured bacterium
Lineage: Bacteria
Description: 16S ribosomal RNA
Rfam family: Bacterial small subunit ribosomal RNA
Source: RNAcentral
GACGAACGCUGGCGGCGUGCUUAACACAUGCAAGUCGAACGGAAAGGCCCUGCUUUUGUGGGGUGCUCGAGUGGCGAACGGGUGAGUAACACGUGAGUAACCUGCCCUUGACUUUGGGAUAACUUCAGGAAACUGGGGCUAAUACCGGAUAGGAGCUCCUGCUGCAUGGUGGGGGUUGGAAAGUUUCGGCGGUUGGGGAUGGACUCGCGGCUUAUCAGCUUGUUGGUGGGGUAGUGGCUUACCAAGGCUUUGACGGGUAGCCGGCCUGAGAGGGUGACCGGCCACAUUGGGACUGAGAUACGGCCCAGACUCCUACGGGAGGCAGCAGUGGGGAAUAUUGCACAAUGGGCGGAAGCCUGAUGCAGCAACGCCGCGUGCGGGAUGACGGCCUUCGGGUUGUAAACCGCUUUCGCCUGUGACGAAGCGUGAGUGACGGUAAUGGGUAAAGAAGCACCGGCUAACUACGUGCCAGCAGCCGCGGUGAUACGUAGGGUGCGAGCGUUGUCCGGAUUUAUUGGGCGUAAAGGGCUCGUAGGUGGUUGAUCGCGUCGGAAGUGUAAUCUUGGGGCUUAACCCUGAGCGUGCUUUCGAUACGGGUUGACUUGAGGAAGGUAGGGGAGAAUGGAAUUCCUGGUGGAGCGGUGGAAUGCGCAGAUAUCAGGAGGAACACCAGUGGCGAAGGCGGUUCUCUGGGCCUUUCCUGACGCUGAGGAGCGAAAGCGUGGGGAGCGAACAGGCUUAGAUACCCUGGUAGUCCACGCUGUAAACGGUGGGUACUAGGUGUGGGGUCCAUUCCACGGGUUCCGUGCCGUAGCUAACGCUUUAAGUACCCCGCCUGGGGAGUACGGCCGCAAGGCUAAAACUCAAAGGAAUUGACGGGGCCCCGCACAAGCGGCGGAGCAUGCGGAUUAAUUCGAUGCAACGCGUAGAACCUUACCUGGGUUUGACAUGGAUCGGGAGCGCUCAGAGAUGGGUGUGCCUCUUUUGGGGUCGGUUCACAGGUGGUGCAUGGCUGUCGUCAGCUCGUGUCGUGAGAUGUUGGGUUAAGUCCCGCAACGAGCGCAACCCUUGUUCACUGUUGCCAGCACGUUAUGGUGGGGACUCAGUGGAGACCGCCGGGGUCAACUCGGAGGAAGGUGGGGAUGACGUCAAGUCAUCUUGCCCCUUAUGUCCAGGGCUUCACGCAUGCUACAAUGGCUGGUACAGAGAGUGGCGAGCCUGUGAGGGUGAGCGAAUCUCGGAAAGCCGGUCUCAGUUCGGAUUGGGGUCUGCAACUCGACCUCAUGAAGUCGGAGUCGCUAGUAAUCGCAGAUCAGCAACGCUGCGGUGAAUACGUUCCCGGG